RNAcentral lists this non-coding RNA (29 nucleotides) under Mus musculus (house mouse). The record is from RNAcentral. Lineage: Eukaryota; Metazoa; Chordata; Mammalia; Rodentia; Muridae.
UCCCUUGGUGUCUGGUUCUUGUCAACCUG